Molecule: ribosomal RNA, 257 nt
Filed under: uncultured bacterium
Lineage: Bacteria
Description: partial 16S ribosomal RNA
Rfam family: Bacterial small subunit ribosomal RNA
Source: RNAcentral
UACAGAGACCUCAAGCGUUAUCCGGAAUCAUUGGGCGUAAAGCGUACCGAUAGGUGGUUAAGAAAGUCAGAUGUGAAAUCUCCGAGCUCAACUCGGAAUCUGUCAUUUGAAACUUCUUGACUAGAGGGGCAAAGAGGAAGCUGGAACGAACGGUGUAGUAGUGAAAUGCGUUGAUAUCGUUCGGAACACCAAUAGCGUAGGCAGGCUUCUGGGUGCCACCUGACACUGCUAGGACGAAAGCGUGGGGAGCGAAUGGG